Molecule: non-coding RNA, 28 nt
Filed under: Homo sapiens (human)
Lineage: Eukaryota; Metazoa; Chordata; Mammalia; Primates; Hominidae
Source: RNAcentral
UUCCUUCCAGGAGAAUGACUUUACCAUC